GUUACUCGAAUGAGAUUUAAGCAUAUCAAUAAGCGGAGGA
Molecule: ribosomal RNA, 40 nt
Filed under: Nanocnide japonica
Lineage: Eukaryota; Viridiplantae; Streptophyta; Magnoliopsida; Rosales; Urticaceae
Description: partial 28S rRNA
Source: RNAcentral